This is a long non-coding RNA of Gasterosteus aculeatus aculeatus (three-spined stickleback), 1197 nucleotides long. NCBI's taxonomy places the organism in Eukaryota, Metazoa, Chordata, Actinopteri, Perciformes, Gasterosteidae. The record is from Ensembl.
AAAACAAUGCAGAUCACAGAUUGAGAAUUGAGACAUUAAUUAAUUACACCUUCCCUGGGCUUAAAAGUGCAACCUUUGAUAUCUUUGGCCACCUGAGGGUGCGGAACAAACUGUAAACAAAACAUGAAAACAACAUUUCACCUAAUAAAGUCAUAAUAUAUCUAGAUUGUCUUGUGAAACAAAAUCCCCUUGCCUAUGUGCGGUCGGCUCGCAGGGCGACAGCUCCAGCAGGGGACCCAAACCUCCAUUCCUCGGGCCAUAUCUACCUACUCUUAUUGGGGGAUCCCAAUGUAAUUUCCAGGCCAGUCCGUCUUCACAUUGUACCUUUUAUGUAAUGUGCUAUCAAAACUAAGAUGAAUAUUGUAUCAUUAACAAUGUUGGAAUCUUGAAUCCAUGCCACCCACAUCUAUAGCCUUGAAUGUGUCAGUCAUAAUAUGUUAGAAUGUGAUCUUGAGAGGCUUCUAAAGUCCAAAUCUAUUUAUAUUCACUCUGUGCCUGUAUGGAAAGGAAAAUUGAAGAGUCAGCUACUGAAACCACACUUGAUAUGCAGGAUAAACCCCUACAUCUGCAACUUGUUAAUCAUAUAACACCAAGAAAGCAAUGCCAUGCAAUGAGGUCAAUCAUCAAUCUCAAAUAAGAGAAUAAUACUCUGUGAUCUUUUAUUUUAUUUAGUACACAGCUGCUGGUGGAGCCGCUGGUGGCUGGGAGAGUGUGAAACUUUGCACUGAUUCGAACAAGACUUUUAGCAGAUAUCUGAACACGGCACCUUUUCUGCUGUUUUUUAAAGAUAUAACAUGGACCAUAACUGCCAUCAACGUAAUAAUGUUGUUGAUGUCGUUACACUGUGUGUGUGUGUCUGUGUGUGUGUGGAGAAUAGAUUAAGAGGAAACAGAAGCAGUUGCAGUUGUGCGUCGGUUGACUUGAACAUUAACUUGUAUGCAGACUGACACAGGUCGCCUCUUGAGGAGGACUGCCACAUGUUCAGCUUUAACCAGCCAGAAUAUGAAAUGUCAUGCUGCUUUUUCCAAUGCAAAAGUACCUCAAUUCACAAUACGCAAGUGUGAAUAACAGCACUCCAAUAUCUGCUUCUUUAAACCAUACAAAGAGGGUCACUCAGGCAACGUCUGUUUUCCACACAAGUUCCAGCGGCAGCUGCAAAGUUGAGAUACCUGGUGGGCAUAUUGCGGCGAGAGGGAA